UAUAGCAAGUUGUUAUUGUUUUAGGUGGAUUUAGCAAAAAAUAAGCAAGGUUUCAUCCAUUGCAGUGGAAACGAACAUCCAGCAGUCAAAUUCGAAAUCGUUGAAACUUAGAAUAAAAAAAAGAGGGUGGAUUUAGCAAGAAAUAAGCAAGGUUUCAUCCAUUGCAGUGGAAACGAACAUCCAGCAGCCAAAUUCAAAAUCGUUCAAACUUAGAAUAAAAAAGAGGGUGGAUUUAGCAAGAAAUAAGCAAGGUUUCAUCCAUUGCAGUGGAAACGAACAUCCAGCAGCCAAAUUCAAAAUCGUUCAAACUUAGAAUAAAAAA
Diabrotica virgifera virgifera (western corn rootworm) is the source of this 322-nucleotide long non-coding RNA. RefSeq lists it as uncharacterized. NCBI's taxonomy places the organism in Eukaryota, Metazoa, Arthropoda, Insecta, Coleoptera, Chrysomelidae. The record is from RefSeq and is a predicted model, not a curated record. The transcript is spliced from 3 exons.